Molecule: ribosomal RNA, 265 nt
Filed under: uncultured bacterium
Lineage: Bacteria
Description: partial 16S ribosomal RNA
Rfam family: Bacterial small subunit ribosomal RNA
Source: RNAcentral
UACCUACGGGGCGCAGCAGUGGGGGAUAUUGCACAAUGGGGGAAACCCUGAUGCAGCGACGCCGCGUGAGUGAAGAAGUAUUUCGGUACGUAAAGCUCUAUCAGCAGGGAAGAAUAAUGACGGUACCUGACUAAGAAGCCCCGGCUAACUACGUGCCAGCAGCCGCGGUAAUACGUAGGGGGCAAGCGUUAUCCGGAUUUACUGGGUGUAAAGGGAGCGUAGACGGCUGAGCAAGUCUGAAGUGAAAUGCCGGGGCCCAACCCCG